This 773-nucleotide ribosomal RNA is filed under the name uncultured Streptococcus sp. RNAcentral describes it as "bacterial SSU rRNA". It matches the Rfam family "Bacterial small subunit ribosomal RNA", at positions 28 to 776 of the family's 1533-position model. The record is from RNAcentral. Lineage: Bacteria; Bacillati; Bacillota; Bacilli; Lactobacillales; Streptococcaceae.
GACGAACGCUGGCGGCGUGCCUAAUACAUGCAAGUAGAACGCACAGUUUAUACCGUAGCUUGCUACACCAUAGACUGUGAGUUGCGAACGGGUGAGUAACGCGUAGGUAACCUGCCUGGUAGCGGGGGAUAACUAUUGGAAACGAUAGCUAAUACCGCAUAAUAUUAAUUAUUGCAUGAUAAUUGAUUGAAAGGUGCAAUUGCACCACUACCAGAUGGACCUGCGUUGUAUUAGCUAGUAGGUGAGGUAACGGCUCACCUAGGCGACGAUACAUAGCCGACCUGAGAGGGUGAUCGGCCACACUGGGGCUGAGACACGGCCCAGACUCCUACGGGAGGCAGCAGUAGGGAAUCUUCGGCAAUGGACGAAAGUCUGACCGAGCAACGCCGCGUGAGUGAAGAAGGUUUUCGGAUCGUAAAGCUCUGUUGUAAGAGAAGAACGGGUGUGAGAGUGGAAAGUUCACACUGUGACGGUAUCUUACCAGAAAGGGACGGCUAACUACGUGCCAGCAGCCGCGGUAAUACGUAGGUCCCGAGCGUUGUCCGGAUUUAUUGGGCGUAAAGCGAGCGCAGGCGGUUAGAUAAGUCUGAAGUUAAAGGCUGUGGCUUAACCAUAGUACGCUUUGGAAACUGUUUAACUUGAGUGCAGAAGGGGAGAGUGGAAUUCCAUGUGUAGCGGUGAAAUGCGUAGAUAUAUGGAGGAACACCGGUGGCGAAAGCGGCUCUCUGGUCUGUAACUGACGCUGAGGCUCGAAAGCGUGGGGAGCGAACAGG